UCUGUAGUUUUUACCCUUUGCUAUAUUGGCCGAGAGGCCGUUUUUGCCAAAAUAAUUUAUCAAUAUAAAUAUAAAUUCUAUUUAGAAUGUCGCCUUUUAAUAAUAUGUUUCGUUUAAGUAAUGUAAUAACAGGAUCCUACAAAACCGUUCUUUUAGGAAGGGUAAGUUAUAGCCCUUCUCAAAUAUGUUGUUACACGAAGAAGUCAGCAGAAGCAAAAUUGGGUAUAGACAAACCAAAGAGACCAUUGACCCCCUUUUUUAAGUUCAUGGGUCAAAUGAGACCAGCCCUGUUAGCUAAGAAUCCCGGUAUAAGUUCCAAAGAAGCCAUAUCAUGGAGUUCAAAACAUUGGCAGCAACUUGACAGUGAGACCAAGUCACAAAUGUUGAAAGAGUAUGAGAAAGAUUUAGAGGACUAUAAAAAGAUUAAGGCAAUAUAUGAGUCAUCACUCACAGACCAACAAAAAGAAGACAUCCAGAAAAUGAAAGAAGACAUGGUCGCAGCUAAAGAAAAACGCAAAUUAAAAGCUGAAUAUAAAGAAUUGGGGCGACCAAAGAAACCUAUGUCCUCCUACUUCCUAUUCUGCCAAACUAAAAAGGAUUUAUUUAAGGGACAGAAAAUACAAGAAUUUCAGACUACAUUAAAAGCUGAAUGGGUUAAACUUUCUGAUAGUGAAAGAGUGAAGUAUGAAAAACAGGCACAGGAGCUUAUGAAUAAAUAUAGAAAAGAUUUACAGGCAUGGGAACUGAAGAUGAUAUCGAUCGGACGAUCAGAUCUUGUUAAAGAGAAACCAGUUAGGUCCAAAUCAAAAUCUUCACAAUAGGGAUUCGGGUGCUCUGAUGAACAAGCUGACUUAAAUAAAACUAUUAGCUCUAAGGAUAAUAAUAUGAAUAAAGAUAUACAAACAGCCAGUGACAUUAUUAUAGAAAAAAAUAAUGCUAAAUUGGAAAGUACAGUAGUACAAAUGGAACAGAAGUCAGAUGUGAGUCAGAGUACGGGUGAAGAGAAAACUGAAAAUAAAAUUGAUAAAUGUAGCGAUAGUGAUGUUAAAACGACAUUAGUUAGAAAUACUGUGCAGGAAAAUACCUCAAAAGAAAGACCACUUUUGCAAGGUGUGUUUGGGAUAUAUAAAAUGAGACCAUAGACAACAUUAUUAGAGCCACUUUUAAUUUCAAAAGUUUGUUACAAAAUAUAAUUAAAAUAAAAUCUUUUAUUCAUA
Danaus plexippus (monarch butterfly) is the source of this 1217-nucleotide RNA transcript. It is a transcript of the gene named transcription factor A, mitochondrial, with no coding region annotated. The transcript is spliced from 6 exons. Lineage: Eukaryota; Metazoa; Arthropoda; Insecta; Lepidoptera; Nymphalidae. The record is from RefSeq and is a predicted model, not a curated record.